Galeopterus variegatus (Sunda flying lemur) is the source of this 408-nucleotide non-coding RNA. The record is from the annotation of a RefSeq genome assembly. Lineage: Eukaryota; Metazoa; Chordata; Mammalia; Dermoptera; Cynocephalidae.
AUGAUGACUGACCGGCCCUAUGUCACCAGGUGUGACCUGUCAGAUCAGCACCAGAGCAGAAUCAUGGAUCUCAUCCGUAGGAACAUGAAGCCCCAGUUGUUCUCCUUUAUUGUUCUGAUGGUGGGUCCCAGAUAUGAGAGUGUUCUGUCUCAGGUGCAACUACAGGAGUCAGGAGCAGGACUGGUGAAGCCCUCGCAGACCCUCUCCCUCACCUGUGCCGUCUCUGCUUACUCCAUCAGCAGUGGUUAUCAUUGCAGCUGGAUCUGCCAGUCAGAGGGAAAGGAGCUGGAGUGGAUUGGACAGAUCUGUAGGGAUGGGAGCACUUACUACAGCUCGUCCCUCAAGAGUCAAGUCGCCAUCUCCAGAGACAUGUCCAAGAACCUGUUGUGCCAGCACCUGAGCUUGUGA